GACGAACGCUGGCGGCGUGCUUAACACAUGCAAGUCGAACGGAAAGGCCCUUCUUUUGUGGGGUGCUCGUGUGGCGAACGGGUGAGUAACACGUGAGUAACCUGCCCUUGACUUUGGGAUAACUUCAGGAAACUGGGGCUAAUCCCGGAUAGGAGCUCCUGCUGCAUGGUGGGCGUUGGAACGUCUCGGCGGUUGGGGAUGGACUCGCGGCUUAUCAGCUUGUUGGUGGGGUAGUGGCUUACCAAGGCUUUGACGGGUAGCCGGCCUGAGAGGGUGACCGGCCACAUUGGGACUGAGAUACGGCCCAGACUCCUACGGGAGGCAGCAGUGGGGAAUAUUGCACAAUGGGCGGAAGCCUGAUGCAGCAACGCCGCGUGCGGGAUGACGGCCUUCGGGUUGUAAACCGCUUUCGCCUGUGACGAAGCGUGAGUGACGGUACUGGGUAAAGAAGCACCGGCUAACUACGUG
This 468-nucleotide ribosomal RNA is filed under the name uncultured bacterium. RNAcentral describes it as "partial 16S ribosomal RNA". It matches the Rfam family "Bacterial small subunit ribosomal RNA", at positions 28 to 507 of the family's 1533-position model. The record is from RNAcentral.